Molecule: microRNA precursor, 145 nt
Organism: Gossypium raimondii (Peruvian cotton)
Lineage: Eukaryota; Viridiplantae; Streptophyta; Magnoliopsida; Malvales; Malvaceae
Rfam family: MIR7502 microRNA precursor family
Source: Rfam
UAUUAAAAAUUUCAUCCAUUUGUAUUAUUAAAAACUAGUGUGACGGACAGAAUAAUCAGACGAUGACACGUAGUGUACAAUAUGUAUCUCAUGCUAACAUAUAGAGAUCAGUUUUUAAUGGUGGAAAUGAAAGAAAUUUUUACCA